This is a non-coding RNA of Candidatus Magnetomorum sp. HK-1, 159 nucleotides long. NCBI's taxonomy places the organism in Bacteria, Pseudomonadati, Thermodesulfobacteriota, Desulfobacteria, Desulfobacterales, Candidatus Magnetomoraceae. The record is from Rfam.
CCCUGUUUUCUGCAACAGGUAUUCUACCGGGACAUGCGUCCGGAGUAAUCCGGGGGUGUGAAGCUCUCGGGACAAGAGAAGCCCGCGGAGGAUGUAUUUCCUCCGGGAGAGGGAACCGUGAGGGGACCUCAACUCUGCAAGCAUCAUGCGGUAAGGGAG